UUUAUUUUCCUCAGCAAAGUUUGCUUAUUUUAUCUAAGUUUCCCUCCACAGCAAGGUUGCUAAGAGACAAGGAGUAGAUCUUAUGCAAGAGUGAGUAGGAGAUGAGAGAAGUGUGUGUGAGAUUCCUUUUGCUAGAAUUGAAUUGCAUUUCUAUUGUGUGUUGUGUUUAGGGUGGUAGACUUGUAUAGGUCCCUUUUAGUGAGCUCAGUGAGCCUUUCUUUUUAAACAGCUGCUUAAAAUACUUUGGGGAAAUUGCAAAAUUGGGAGGAGACCCCAGUAGCUUUCCACUAGUUUUCUAGCAUUGCAUCUUGGAGACUUUGUGUAACACACACCUAUGCAAUUUUGGGGCAGUCGCCAUUUUAUCUGCCAUCUUGAUAAUUUUUGAAUUUCAACUUUAAGCAGAAAAGCAGCCUUACUUGUUUGAUAUUGGCUGGAACUUAUAAAUACCUGUAUGAGGUCAGAUUUAGCAGAAUAUAUGCUGUUAUUUUAUGCCUGAAUAGAAGAAGCCAUCGAUGGUUCCAAGAUCGGGAUAUUUUCCAACACCGGAUAAUUUCCAGGAUCGGGACAUUUCCCAAGGUCGGGUCGUUUAGGAGACUGGUGAAUUAUUAGUAAGCUGAGAAUAUAAAGCGCCGUCUUUGAUGGAGGUUUUCGGCCAACAGAUAAGUUAUUAUAAAGAACAGUGAGAGAGAAAGCAGGAGGACUUUUCUUUAAACGUGAACUCGAUUUCUGAAUAUCAGAAAGUCUAACGAUUGGAGAUUUGAGAUUGAAGAUACAGACAUUAAUUAUGACUGAACAGUUGAUUGAUAGAAGUAUUGAUUUGAAUUUGGAUCCUUGUAAGAUAUGUCGGAUGAUAGUCUUGAGCUAGAGUUUGGAGAACAGCUCAAGUUUCAGGUGUUAGAAGAUAAAAUGUGAUCAGAAAAAUAUAUUAGGUCAGAGAUACAAAAUGGUGAAAGUAGAAUUAUAUAUGAAGGUGGAUUAAUGCAGGAUCCUUUCAUAAUUAUGAAUGUUUGGUAGUUAUGAUUGUGAAAA
Long non-coding RNA from Lytechinus variegatus (green sea urchin), 1029 nucleotides. RefSeq lists it as uncharacterized. The transcript has 2 exons. Lineage: Eukaryota; Metazoa; Echinodermata; Echinoidea; Temnopleuroida; Toxopneustidae. The record is from RefSeq and is a predicted model, not a curated record.